RNAcentral lists this ribosomal RNA (883 nucleotides) under Apiospora arundinis. RNAcentral's name for it is "eukaryotic LSU rRNA". It matches the Rfam family "Eukaryotic large subunit ribosomal RNA", at positions 53 to 964 of the family's 3401-position model. The record is from RNAcentral. Lineage: Eukaryota; Fungi; Ascomycota; Sordariomycetes; Amphisphaeriales; Apiosporaceae.
GAGGAAAAGAAACCAACAGGGAUUCCCCUAGUAACGGCGAGUGAAGCGGGAACAGCUCAAAUUUGAAAUCUGGCCCUUGGGUCCGAGUUGUAAUUUGCAGAGGAUGCUUUUGGUGCGGUGCCUUCCGAGUUCCCUGGAACGGGACGCCUUAGAGGGUGAGAGCCCCGUACGGUUGGCCACCAAGCCUGUGUAAAGCUCCUUCGACGAGUCGAGUAGUUUGGGAAUGCUGCUCAAAAUGGGAGGUAUAUUUCUUCUAAAGCUAAAUACUGGCCAGAGACCGAUAGCGCACAAGUAGAGUGAUCGAAAGAUGAAAAGCACUUUGAAAAGAGGGUUAAAUAGCACGUGAAAUUGUUGAAAGGGAAGGAUUUAUGACCAGACUUUUUCUGGGGGGAUCAUCCGGUGUUCUCACCGGUGCACUUCCCCCAGUUGAGGCCAGCAUCGGUUUCUGCCGGGGGAUAAAAGCUUUGGGAAUGUGGCUCCUUCGGGAGUGUUAUAGCCCGUUGCAUAAUACCCUGGCGGGGACCGAGGUUCGCGCAUUGCAAGGAUGCUGGCGUAAUGGUUAUUAAUCACCCGUCUUGAAACACGGACCAAGGAGUCGAACAUUUGUGCGAGUGUUUGGGUGUUAAACCCUCACGCGUAAUGAAAGUGAACGGAGGUGAGAGCCUUUAGGGGUGCAUCAUCGACCGAUCCUGAUGUCUUCGGAUGGAUUUGAGUAAGAGCAUAACUGUUCGGACCCGAAAGAUGGUGAACUAUGCGUGGAUAGGGUGAAGCCAGAGGAAACUCUGGUGGAGGCUCGCAGCGGUUCUGACGUGCAAAUCGAUCGUCAAAUCUGCGCAUGGGGGCGAAAGACUAAUCGAACCAUCUAGUAGCUGGUUACCGCCGA